UGAAACCGUUUAGGGGUAAACCUGAGAAACCCGAAAGGUCGAAGGGCGGAAUUCAAUCGCGAAUCGCGGUCGGAACCGUGCGAUCCGGCGACGGACGACGUUCGCGUCGUUCGCGUCUUUCGUGCGGUCGGCCGGUCGCGAACGCGUGCACUUUCCGCCUGGUAGGACGUCGCGAUCCGUCGGGUGUCGGUUUAAGGUCCCGGGUGGAGACCGUCGGCCGGUUUCGGCCGGCCACGGACCCCGGGCGCCCGACCGACUCGCUCGACGGUAACACGAACGGUUCGGGGCCGCUCCGUUCGGGAGCGUCCGGCCCGCGGCAAGCGCGUCAGAUGCACGUCGGCGAUCGGACCCGGUGCCGAUUCCGACCUCUGACGACUGUUCGCCGCGGAGUUCUCGGACAGACCUCGCAUCUUCUCGAAAAACCGAUCGGCGACGCUAUAGCUUUGGGUACUUUCAGGACCCGUCUUGAAACACGGACCAAGGAGUCCAGCAUGUACGCGAGUCAUUGGGAAUCGUUAAACCUAAAGGCGCAAUGAAAGUAAAGAUCUUCCCAGCGAGGAUCGAGGGAAGACGGGCGAGUCGUCGUUAAAAGCGACCGCUCCGCAUUCCCGGGGCGUCUCGUUCUCAUCGCGAGAGGAGGCGCACCAGGAGCGUACACGCUGGGACCCGAAAGAUGGUGAACUAUGCCUGGUCAGGA
RNAcentral lists this ribosomal RNA (697 nucleotides) under Cosmoderes imitatrix. RNAcentral describes it as "partial large subunit ribosomal RNA". It matches the Rfam family "Eukaryotic large subunit ribosomal RNA", at positions 400 to 846 of the family's 3401-position model. The record is from RNAcentral. Lineage: Eukaryota; Metazoa; Arthropoda; Insecta; Coleoptera; Curculionidae.